Astatotilapia calliptera (eastern happy) is the source of this 1185-nucleotide long non-coding RNA. The record is from Ensembl. Lineage: Eukaryota; Metazoa; Chordata; Actinopteri; Cichliformes; Cichlidae.
GUUUUUAUUGCAGGCAUAACGAGAACAGCCAAAGGACAGUACGUCCUUAGAAACCCAUCCCCGACCACAGAGGGGACUACUGAAUGAAGACCCAGCUGCUACUUGGCCUGAAUGUUGUGUUUUCAAUAAAUACUUCUUGUCCAGUACAGACUAAUCAACACUAUCUACAGGUUCUCCUGAUGUAAUAGCUUUAUGUAAAAUUACCUGGUACCGUAAGUUAUGUCUGAAAAUAUUGUGUUAUUGUAAGGUGAUAAAUCCAGAUGUUAACAAAAGCUUCAUGUUGCCAAAAUUUUCAGUCUGACAAAUUACAUGGAAGGGUUGGGUAUGUAUUUUAAAUGUUAGUAUUCAGAAAACAACAGUAUAUAAUUUACAUAUUUGUUUAUUUAAAGUCUGCGGAUUAGUCUAAGACUGCAGAGCAGGCUUACAGCUAAGCACACCAGUCUGUUUGAGUAAAUAAGUACAUUUGAGUGUUAAUUAAAAAGUUGUUCCGUGGACAAUUUUUGAGUGAUGCAAGUAACAUUGGUCAUCAAAUACAGUAUUACAUAAUUUCUUUUAAACAUGUUAAGCAGCAGGAAUCCCUAAAGUUUUAUGUCGAAAUACUUAAAUAAUAUAUAGAGCCUAAACAUAUGUUCAAUUAAGGCCUGUGGUCAGCCGGUUUUCCAAAAUUAUCUGUAGUCAUUGUGGUCAUCCAUAAUUCUUAUUAUACAUUUACUAUAAGCUUAAUACAGCUGUAUAACACAAGCAUUAUGCGGUUUCAGUGCUCCUAGUUUAUUUUUACCUGAAACGUGUCUUAAAUGAAAAACCUCAAGGGUUGAAAUGCCAUUGCACAUUUCUUUUUUUAAAAUAUAUAAGUCCUCAAAUUGUGACGGUUGUUCUUAAUCCAACAAUUAAAGUUUCUUUAUACUCUGGACUCCUGCAUCAUCCUUUUCUUUCUUUUUCUUUUUUUUUUCUUUUUAAAGAUAUGAACUAACUUCAUGGGGCAUAGAUGGACCUUUCUAGAGAAAGCUUGUAGUGGGAUGUCCUGUUACAGAUGUGAUUGAAAGUGUAGAAGUGGACCAGAUCUGUGUGAAUCAGGUCUUGAUCUUGACAUCACAUUUACGGCUAUUCCAGCUCCCCCCUACAGAAGGGCAUUGUUUACACAAAUCAAACCAUCUGCAACCCAAACAGGUGAAAAUGAAACAGAAA